UACGUAGGGUGCAAGCGUUGUCCGGAAUUAUUGGGCGUAAAGAGCUCGUAGGCGGUCUGUCGCGUCUGCUGUGAAAACUCGGGGCUUAACUCCGGGCCUGCAGUGGGUACGGGCAGACUAGAGUGCGGUAGGGGAGACUGGAAUUCCUGGUGUAGCGGUGAAAUGCGCAGAUAUCAGGAGGAACACCGGUGGCGAAGGCGGAUCUCUGGGCCGUAACUGACGCUGAGGAGCGAAAGCAUGGGGAGCGAACAGG
RNAcentral lists this ribosomal RNA (253 nucleotides) under uncultured bacterium. RNAcentral describes it as "partial 16S ribosomal RNA". It matches the Rfam family "Bacterial small subunit ribosomal RNA", at positions 524 to 776 of the family's 1533-position model. The record is from RNAcentral.